Molecule: ribosomal RNA, 335 nt
Filed under: uncultured Pseudomonadota bacterium
Lineage: Bacteria; Pseudomonadati; Pseudomonadota
Description: bacterial SSU rRNA
Rfam family: Bacterial small subunit ribosomal RNA
Source: RNAcentral
AACGAACGCUGGCGGCGUGCCUAACACAUGCAAGUCGAGCGCGAAUGGAGCAAUCCUAGUAGAGCGGCGCACGGGUGCGUAACACGUGGAUAAUCUGCCUGGGUGUCUGGGAUAACCAGUCGAAAGACUGGCUAAUACCGGAUAAGCCCCCGGGAGCUUCGGCUCUUGAGGGAAAAGGUGGCCUCUGUAUACAAGCUAUCACAUCCAGAUGAGUCCGCGGCCCAUCAGCUAGUUGGCGGGGUAAUGGCCCACCAAGGCAACGACGGGUAGCUGGUCUGAGAGGACGAUCAGCCACACUGGAACUGAGACACGGUCCAGACUCCUACGGGAGGCUG